GAAUUUAUAGAAAUCAUUUCACUGUCAAUAAAUUGUGCUUUUAAUUAGUGAAAUCGGUAAGAACGGGUGGUACCGGUCUAUGGCUUGCGUCGGAUCUCCCCAUUCCUAAAGAGAGAGAAGACUGGCAUAAACCGACGGCGUCACUGUCCUCGAGAGGAGGACAGAUCGAAGUAACGACAACGAUAGUCUGACAGUCCAACGACGGCGUUUCAGGAGUUGUUUGUCGGCUUGUCGGAACCCCUCUCCGCCUAAACAAAGCAUCCUCUCCCUCCUCCCAGCCUGUAGCAAUUGCCAACUUUAGGAGUUUCGAUCUGUUCAACCAUUUGCCGUUGAAAAAGCUCCGUACCAGAGCUCACGCGUUAAAAGACAGUCACAGUGCUAUAGUAAGCAACGCUAGCUGAGCGUGUCCGUAUUGCCGAAGAAAGAAGCAGAGAUCAAGCCGUCAGAGUUUGCCGGGUACACAGCUCCCUCCCUUUCACCCUCUUCCUCAGGACACCUUUGAUCUACAUGGUGGCAAUGUUUUCUCUUCGUUGGGCUUCCCUACUUACAGCGUUCACUACAGAUCGUUGGUCAAAUACCUUAUAAAUCAUCGUCACUCGCUCUUUUCUCCUUCGGUUCUCCUUCAAACUUUCAGAGCCUAGGAAACGUCCUCAUUUCUCUCCCUGAUCUCUCUCUCACUUUUUUUUUUCUUUCUCGGCACCCUCCUGAUUUCUCUCUCAUUUCCAAUUUAAGCGAACUUCGGACUCUUCUAUCUAGCUACUCUUUACCUCUCAUCAUACAUAUAUAGACGUUAUCCAUUUAUCAUUGAUUUUUUUUUUGUUUCCCUGCAUCCAAGCCAGUAACAUUCUACGAGUUUUCCAGACGAACCA
This is a long non-coding RNA of Carya illinoinensis, 869 nucleotides long. RefSeq lists it as uncharacterized. The transcript is spliced from 3 exons. The record is from RefSeq and is a predicted model, not a curated record. Lineage: Eukaryota; Viridiplantae; Streptophyta; Magnoliopsida; Fagales; Juglandaceae.